RNAcentral lists this long non-coding RNA (307 nucleotides) under Gossypium raimondii (Peruvian cotton). RNAcentral's name for it is "long non-coding RNA (GRAI_LNC006944)". Lineage: Eukaryota; Viridiplantae; Streptophyta; Magnoliopsida; Malvales; Malvaceae. The record is from RNAcentral.
AAAUUAUUCACUGCAAUAUGAAUAAAAGCAGUCAUCAUAUUCCACACCCAAAGGGAAAAGAGGAAGAAGCUUUAUGGACCCAUUAGAGGGACCCUUCAUUACUUUGCUCUAACUUGGGCUACCAACCCAUAAUUAGAUUUUAGAACCUCUUUUUCCCUCCUAAACCUUUCUCUGCGCCAUAAACAAGAACUUGUUUCAAUUUUCACCAAUUUGUCGGGUCCUACCUUCUUCUUAUUUUCUUCUCUUUAUUUUUCACAAGUGGAUUUGGAGCUUCUCCUGAGAAGAAAACUACAUUCCUCAACUUUAU